This 1767-nucleotide long non-coding RNA is filed under the name Triticum aestivum (bread wheat). RNAcentral's name for it is "long non-coding RNA (TAES_LNC018840)". Lineage: Eukaryota; Viridiplantae; Streptophyta; Magnoliopsida; Poales; Poaceae. The record is from RNAcentral.
UAACUUUUUUAUUAAUCCUACUCUCAAUUUCAUCAGCAGAAUCAACCAUAUAGUAAAGUCUAUUUUAAACCUUAAACUGGUAGAGCACGUCGAAAAAGAACCCUGAACUCUAAAUCCCUGAAGUUGAUACCCCGUAUUCAUUGAUCCCGAUCAACUUUGACCCUAGACCUGUUUGGUACACUGGGAAAAGGCCGAUCCCAACCGAGAUCACAAGCUACUCUCACUGACAUCCCUGGCCCACAUGUCAUAUCCAUCUUCCCCAAAAUUUUCCGCUUUAGCUGCCAUACGUCCUCCUGUUGCUAUAUGCGUGUUCCCGAGCGGCUUGUUAAACUUGACAGAGGAGCUUGCGCCAGCGUUGACUCCUGCAAUACGAAAACCACAGGCUGCAACCACGCCGUUUUGGCGUCGGCAGGAUCCACGGCGUCGUCAGUCGUGAUGCCUGAACUUCUCUCUGCCGCAACUAUGAGGAUGGUGCUCUCCCCGGCAUGCGUACUUUUGCCCCAUGGACGUCGGGACGUCGAGGCAGCACGCGUUUGCCAAGGGGUGGCGUGUUUGAGAAAUCAAUCAGCCAGCUUCGGUUGCUAGCUAGCCUCGCCGUACUUGCUCCAUAGAGGAUUUUGAUCAGCCCUGCAUUUGCGCAUCUUGCUGUGUCUGGUCAGUUUGCAAACUAACUGCGUUAAGUUUCGUACAUGUGUGAUCCUCGGAAAGAAUUCGCCGGCUCGCGUCAGCGUGCCCGCAUUCUCUAGUCCGGGACGGGCCUGUGGUGUUCUCGCCGGGCUGCAUGGUUGCUUUGUCGUCGUCGUCAGGCAGGGGUAGCACUAGCAGCCGUUGACACCACACUAGUAAGCAAUGUGAGAAAAGACAUGGAGGAAAGUGCGAUGAUUAAGAGCGGGAAGCCUUCGUGUGGCAACAUGCGACGACAUCGAGAAGGUCAGCCUCCCAAGCGCCAGAGCAGCAGAACUAACGGGAGCAGGCUGUUGUGCAGCAGCUCAUCGGAGACGAACAGGGGAGGUCCGAGCUCUUGCUCCCGCGCUUCGACGGCUGGGUCAUGAUCGGGACAAGGAGUCGCCGUGCCAAGCAUCUCCUCUGUAAGCCGCCGCCUGAAGACAGAGGGAGUGGAUCUGAAGUGAAUUUAUGUGAGAGAGAGACAAGGGAAGUAGAUGAAUAUUACACGGGGGACCACAUAGUCAGUGAGAGUAGAGAUCGAAUCCGGCCGGAUUCUCCACUUCCUGAUACAACAAACAAGAUUUUACUCUGGCAAGGUUAUGAUUGACCGGGAUCACUGAAUACAGGGUAUCAAUUUCAGGGAUUGAGAGGUCAGGGUUCAUUUUCCACCCGAUGUAUGAGUUCAAGGUUCAAGACAGACUUUACUCAUAUAUAAUUGUGGAAAUUUACGAGAGAACCCUGAGGUGGUAAAAGCGGACCAACACGAUGGUAUACGACCCCAUUUAUCUUGAACACAUAGCGAGCACUACCAAUACGAUGGUAUACGACCCAUUCAUCUUGAACACAUAGGGAGCACCACCAACGUUGAUACUCUGAUCAAUAUAAGCACCCCAAGGAUGUAAAACAAAACAUAGAGUUAUACCCUGGGUCAAAACUCCGCUUACCAAACAAGAUGUCGAGAGGCGAAUUCUAUAGUUCCUCUCCUGCCUGAUCAAACACAUAAAUCGUUUAGAAGAUGCAUCUCCAUCAAAUCGCAACAGACUGUCCAGAGGAGUUGGCCCCACAUGGUGAACCGAACUUUGGCGCCACGACAACACCNNN